Long non-coding RNA from Pezoporus flaviventris, 2025 nucleotides. RefSeq lists it as uncharacterized. The record is from RefSeq and is a predicted model, not a curated record. The transcript has 2 exons. NCBI's taxonomy places the organism in Eukaryota, Metazoa, Chordata, Aves, Psittaciformes, Psittacidae.
AGCGCACUAUGGUUUGAGAUGGCAGCCCUGGAAGGCUGUAGUCAUACCGUAUGGCCUUGAAUAGCCACAAGUAGAGCACACUUGAAACCAGCUGCUGAUUCAAAAUGCUGUUACCAGUCAUCUGGAAAACCCAGGAGAGCACUCUGUUGCAGUAGCUUUGCAGAGGGGAAGAAGGAAAAAGAAAUACUCCCUUUUUAGGGUAGCAUUCUCUCUUCAUUGAAAUUAAUGGAGAUACUUUUAUCAGUGGCUUCACUUCUGAAUUAUGUAUUUUCUUGAUUAAAUGCUGUGAACUGUAGAGAGAGGAGGUCUGAAAGGUUUUUAAGGGUGGUGACAUGUUCAGUGCCUGGAGCAGUGUGUUUCAUUUAAUAUUGGGAAGGAGUUAUUUUUCUGUUGUUUGGCUGGGUCUUUUUAAAUUGAUAGUAAGUAAUUAAUAAUUGAUAAUAAUAAGUUGAUAGUAACUAAGUCAUUAUAAGUCAGCAUAGCAGAUCCAGGUGACAUGUAUGUAUGCAUAUAAACAUAUUAUAACACUGUAUAUGUACAGAGCAAAUUAAACCAUCCCAGGGCAGAAAAAGGCUCAGAGGAGCUGCACAGAGGAAAGUAGAGGGAUGAGGGAAGCAUUGGCUCAGGAGUUGUUCAAACUCGAUAUCGGAAGGGCAAUGAAAGCCGUGAUGCCCACACGGACCAAACGCAGCUUUUUUUUUAGCAGAGAAGCCAACUUCCACAAAGAAAACUGGGAAGGAAACAGUGCCAUUUCAGCUGGAGCUUACCUCAGCCUGAGGUUUAGCAAGGUUUCUGCUAUGGUGUGAAUGACAUGGAAAAGGAAAAUCCCUUUCCUGUGCCAAACAGGUGAGGCAUCUGCUGGGACAGCACGAUCUCACAAUGCUAAAGGUUGUGAAGCCUCAGGUGAGGUCCCAGACACCACGCAGCGCAGUGGGGAGCUUCAAUAUCACUGGGAUUUCACCCCUUGGCCAGAGAACUGAAGUGUGCUUUUAAUUUCCUCGUGUGCUCAGGUGUGUUCAGCAGAGCACUAAAUCGCCUGCCUGAGCACUCGCAGGCCUCCACCAGGACAAUGCAAGAGUUGUCAUGAGCAAAGGCAUCCUGAAAUUUCUGUACUGAGAUCAGAUGGGAUGUGGUUUGGAUGAUGACAUCCUGCCAGUAACCAGGAGUGGACAAAGCUGUGUAACGAUGCUUUUCUUGCUGCAGACCUGCUGUUCCCAGCCAUAGGAUUCCAUUUAUAAAAGCUUGUUAAAAAUGACACUGCUCUCUGGGUUAUUUAACUUGCUCUGUUUCCAGUUAGCCACUGCUAAACCUUACAAAAGAAAGAGGUUUUUAACUUCCUGCCUGGUGUGUAUCCAGACGUCAGAAACCUCCACAGAAGGAAGAGAAAUUAGCUCUGAUCCCUUUCUGCCAGCAUAGGAUUAUUUUGCAUCACACUGGUUUUGAAGUUCAUGCCUAAUCCAGUUUUACACAUCUUGGGGAACUGGGCUUCUUCUUAUGACUUCUUCUGCAAAACAGUAGGGUGGUGGUGCCUCUGAUAUAGAGGUACUUACUUGAUACAGAUGCUUCAAUUUGCAUUUGCAUUACUGCAUCCCAUUUUAUUCUGUGCCAUACACAUAGUGUUGCAGCUCCAUGGUGUAUGGCUUACAAAAGCUUAUGGAUCAUUACUGUGCUCACUAUACACUUAGUUGAACUAUAUAUAUUUAAACUGCACUGCAGAGAACUGUGUGUGAGUUGUGUGUAGGUCUCCAAACUGUUGAACAUAUUUACACACAAAAGGGCUUAUAGUAUGCAGUGUGGAUCUUAGUGCAUGAAAAUGGCUCGUAUGAAAUGAGCUAAAGAGCCGUGCAUGUAGAAAUACUGCUUAUCAAGGCAAAGGGGAGGGUUGUGUCACUGUUUUCCAGCAAACUGGAAGGUUUAAAAUUGUCAGUCCUGAGUUUGGUUUUUAAUGCACCACAUUUUAUACAUGAUGAGUUUGUAAAAACAUGCUUUCUUCCUAAUAAAUGUGUAUUUUCAGGUGUAAAAAAA